This 294-nucleotide ribosomal RNA is filed under the name uncultured bacterium. RNAcentral describes it as "partial 16S ribosomal RNA". It matches the Rfam family "Bacterial small subunit ribosomal RNA", at positions 335 to 622 of the family's 1533-position model. The record is from RNAcentral.
GUCCUACGGGACGCAGCAGUAGGGAAUUUUCGUCAAUGGGCGCAAGCCUGAACGAGCAAUGCCGCGUGAACGAGGAAGGUCUUCGGAUCGUAAAGUUCUGUUGAAGGGGAAAAAGAGCAGAGAGAGGAAAUGAACUCCGAUUGAUAUUACCCUUCGAGGAAAUCACGGCUAACUACGUGCCAGCAGCCGCGGUAAUACGUAGGUGGCGAGCGUUAUCCGGAAUGAUUGGGCGUAAAGGGUGCGUAGGCGGCCUGCUAAGGCUGGCGUGAACGGUACCGGCUCAACCGGUACAGG